Nylanderia fulva is the source of this 3836-nucleotide non-coding RNA. The record is from RefSeq and is a predicted model, not a curated record. NCBI's taxonomy places the organism in Eukaryota, Metazoa, Arthropoda, Insecta, Hymenoptera, Formicidae.
CAGCCGGAUUAGCUACUUUCAUUGCUCGUUGAUCGGUUUUAUUUUCUUGGUCUACUUACCGCCACUGUAAGCUCUGAGGUGUUCAAGCUGCGCAGCCUGCCUUAUUGUACCUUGUGCCCUUCACUUUAUUGCCAUUACUCACAAUGGCAUAUUUGAAGGGAGAUUUGCGUCGGAUGUGGAGUGAACCAUUUAUAUCUCAACCACCUUCUAAACAUAUGGACGUUUGACAAGAGUCAUGACUUGCUGUAUAUUGCGCUGUAUCGGAGACAAAAUCCUUGCAUGAGAUUCACAUAACUUCACGUCCUUAUUUUCAUCAACGUCAUUUAAUGUAAGUAAUUUUUUCUAUACACACAUGCGCGCCCGCGCGCGCGAUAUACGUUUACAUUCUUUUUAAAGUCAAUACAGAGGACAAUUCAGAUCUAAGGGUCAAUGCAAUUAUUUGCAGUCUUAUCUAGUGUAAAAAUACAUAUACUGCAUAAAAAUAAUUUAUAAAUGUAACAUAAUGUCACACGAGUAUAAUGUUAGCGGUGCAAACAACUUUUUACCGAAACAAUAGAGGUCGACGAAUCCUUUCGAAAUAUUUCUGGAAUGCCAAAUGACACAUAUAUUAUUGGCAUUCUUUCUGUGUCUUAACUUGAUGUUGAGUAUAUGGAUAGAUAUUGUGCAUAUAAUAGAUAAUGCAAUCAGUAAUUAUUGUCAUUUCAAGCUACUACAUAAUAGCUAAAAGAAACUAUGUAUCAUGUGAUUGAUUUUACGAAUGAAAAAUGGUCUUUCACUUUUACUAUCAUCAUGACAAUUGAUAGAUUCUUGAGAUAUUUACUUCAGUUGAACAAAAAGUAUUGAACAGCUAAAUUACUUUUGUAAAAUUCAGUUACAAAUAAUUACAAGAUUCAUUUGAUUCAUUAUACUCAAUCGAUAUCGAAUUACUUGCAAAUAUUAUAUAUAGCUACGAAUAGAAUAAUUUAUAAACUAUUUGAGCAUUUGGAUAAGAAUCCAAUACACACACAUGCGUGUAGGUUGUGACUUUAUUUAAAGCUGAUUUAAACUCGAUUGAGCAAAGUAAUUAUGCUAAAAUAAUUGUGUAUAUAUUUAUUAUAUCAUUUUUAUAGAUUUAUGGGCACGACUUUGCGAUUUGCAGUAAUGAAUAGCACGCUUUUCAAUACUGUGUUUUGUUUUGCUGUUUGUUUGUUGAUCAAACUAUUUUUUAUUUCGAGAUUAGUUUCACGCAUUGUCAUUCUCAACGUGUAAGUAGGAUGUAAUAUGAAACUGUGCAUUGUUAAAGAUAAUUACAGGAAGGUUUGUUUAAACAAAAAGGCUUUCUAAACGAGCUCUUGCUAUGGAUAGGCUAUCGAAAAGACUUUAUAUGUUUAUUUAAGGACAAGACUGAAGAUAAUAUGUACGAAAGCCAAUCUAUUAAGUGAUUUCUCUGAAAGAUAAAUAAUUUUUUCCAUUCUACCUUUCUCUUGGAUCAAUUUAUAGUAUCUUAGAUUAAAUGAAAUAAUAUAAUAUAUUCUAAUGUAAUAAUAUAACAUUGUCUAAGAAAGGUAGAAUAAUAAAUGCUCUUUCAUAUUGUCUUUUGCUUUAAAAUAAGUUAUGUAAAAUAUUCAUAGUCACAAAUCAAUUAGAUACAUAUAAUGAUCUGAAAUUAAUUUCAUUUUUACAUCAUUGUAUUUAGCAAAUUAGUAUACACACACACAUACACAUUAUGCAUAUACAUGUAAUAACACAUACACAAAAUUGAUUAAUAAGUUGUUAAAUACAAUGACGUAAAAGCAUGAAAUUGCACACACACAUAUACACAACAUUCACACAUCAAAAUAAUAGUUUUACAAUUUGUUCUUUAGAUAAAAAUUAUAUUAACAUGACUUCGAGCCAAACGUAAGUAAAACAAUUCAAAUAAUUAUAGGCUCUAUUUAUUAGUUUAAAAAAUUCAAUGUUUCCGUUCCACGUUUGUUUUCAAUAAAUAAAAGUAAAAAAAAUGAAAUAAAAAUACAUAAUCGUGUGUUUUUCAUAGCAACAUUUGCAAUGUUUACUUUGACAAGUGCGUUUCGUUUUCAGGGUUUUCCACACAUCUUUGCACUUUUCUCGAGAAAAUUUAUUGUUAUUGCUUUACAUUCUCAAUUUACAUUCUUUCUCUUGAAGGCGGAAAUAUGUCUGGAGGCAUCUCUAAUGAAAAUUUGUGAGGGAUUUCAGGACUUUAUCUAGAUAUGAUUACACGAUUAUAUAUUUUUAUAUCGUCCCCCUUAUUAAAGAUGUCUCGAAGUGGAACCACAAAACGUUUAAUUUUUUAAACUAAUAAACAGCCUACAAUUGUUCGAAUUUUUUUACUUUCGUUUGGCUUUCAUUAAAAUCGUUUCUAUACUUAUGUUAAUAUAUUCAGCAUUUUUUGUUUUAAUGAAAAAUUAUUUUUAUUUUAAAUUCUUCAAAAAUACUUUUCUCCAAUCGUUAGAAAUUUGCGAAAAAAUAUAAUAGGAAGAGUGAUUCAAACAAAUUUAAUCUAUUUAUUCAUAUAGUAAUAUAGAAAAAUUUAUACUAAAAAAAAUCCAAGUUUUGUUUUAAUUAAUACAAAGAAGGCAUACCAUUGAAUAAGAUCCCGUUAAUUUUGUAAUGUUUUCAUCAUUUUUCAUUUGUCUACCUGUCCAUAGCACAAGCAAUUUGUUUUCCAUCGUUAUCUCAUAUUUAUAUUGAUCAUUUUUUAUAUUUUAAUUAUAAUUACUUAUACACACACGUACACAUAUGAGUAAUGAAAUAUAUUUUAAUUACUUCCGUUAUUCGGUAAACAACUUAUAAUGACGCGUUUGUAAAAUGAUUUAUUUUAUAUAUAUUUUGUUAUAUUUGAAAGAGAGCGCUUAAUUGUGUUCAGAUCAUCAGUUUCUCAACAAUAUGUGAUCUUUUUUGAACAAAUUACGUACAUUAUGAUAUGCCGUUUAUAGUUCUGUAAUGUAUGUUUAAAUUUUUUCUUCCAAUAUGUACAUACGAAAUAACUUCGAUAGAGAAAGAGGCGCAAACUUAGCAACAUUUAUGCGUCACGCCUCUAUGAAGAGAUUUUACUUGUUAAGCAAAUUAAUCGAAUGCAAUGAAUUUUUUAUUAGUACAAUGUAGUGUAUCUUUAAGAGAAAACAUUCAAGUUUUCAAAUGUAGAUUAGUGCAAUACAAUUUAUAAUUUAUACCACAACAGAAUCGUAAUACUUUUGUUAUAAUAAAAAUAAUUCUACUUCUCGAUUCGUUUUCACAACGAGACUCCUCCUUAAAACGAUGAAUGUUUUUGUACAAAACAAGUUAAGGCAUAAUACUACAUAGAAAGUGUUUAUAAUAAGAUUGUAACUUAGUUUAUGGUAAGAAUGAGAGGUACAUUAAUUAUAUGUAUAUCUUAAUUUUUGUUUCAAUACAUGUAACAAAUCACAUUUUGUUGUACAUCUCCUAUAAAGUCUGAUGAUUUAUUUAUUGAGUAGAAUUGUACAAGUACUACAAAAAAUGCUCAUUAUGUAAAUUUCAGGAAGUGUAUAUAUAAAACGAUUAUUCACAACUGUCAUUCAUUUUUUCCACAAACUAAGUGAUGAGAUAAAAAAAUAUUAUAUAUUAAUAACAUGACAUAUGAUAGAAACGAAAUGAUCAAGGAACAGGUUUAAAUAAAAAAUCAAGAGUUAAACCGUAUAUACACACAGAAUAUUAUUAAAUGCUGGAUAUUAUAGGUAACAUACUAAAAAAGCACUUGCUUGUACUGUUGCAAUUCUUGACUUGCAUGUGUACAGCUAAUGUACAUUUUUUAUAUAUAAUAAAACUUGACCAUUUUCGUAUGUGGUCGCGUUUGAAAAGUAAAAGUUAUUGAUAACAAA